This is a long non-coding RNA of Acipenser ruthenus (sterlet), 1022 nucleotides long. RefSeq lists it as uncharacterized. NCBI's taxonomy places the organism in Eukaryota, Metazoa, Chordata, Actinopteri, Acipenseriformes, Acipenseridae. The transcript is spliced from 3 exons. The record is from RefSeq and is a predicted model, not a curated record.
UGGAGCCCGUUGAGAUCCAAAGUGGAUCGUAGUGUUUGGUGUAUUGGCCACCACUAAUCUAUGUUCUCUACUUGAUAUCUAUAAUUAGAACUUGCUCACUCUUGGUAUUAAGCAAACACCCCCACAGCUUGUAUGGAAUUCAGAGAAAGGAUUGCAAACAAUGGCGGUAGAACUCUUCUGUUCCACAACAAAGGCACUGUGCCUUUUUAACUGCUACUUGCAGAGUUAAUUUAAAAGUGUCUCACUGAACAGUUUGGUGGCUCUGUGAUGUAGUACGCCAAUGUACUUUCAGCACUUUGAUAAUUCACUUCAAGGAGCGCUAACCAAUCCUAUAACUGUUCUACAGCUUUAUUAACAUCAUUCCUGGUUCAGCUUUUAUUGCGUUGAGAAUCUGUUUAACUGUCAAUUUGGGAUAUUGCGGAUACAACACUGUAGGUACCCUUGCUUGAUGGUCUGGUUACAGGUAGGACACUAGAGUAAGUUUGAAAUAAAACACAAAAAGUGAUCUGGUGCCAGGAAGCAACUACAGCAUCUUUAGUAUCGCCUUUGAAACGACACACUACAAAUUGAAGUCAUGGAGAUAAUGCUAAUAGGAGCCCAACCACAUUUUAGAGCCAACUAAAUUUCAGAAAAGCGUUCAUCACAGAUGGAAUAUUCUCGUAGCAGUGCCUGGUUACCAAGACACAUCUUGAGGCCACCUGAGCAGCUAUCUGAAAGCAGUCUUUGCAAACAGCUGGCACGACACAUGGAUCCACCAGCCACCAAACACCUCCUGGACAGGUUUCCUCAAUCAAUAUGGGGAAAGCGAGACCUCACAUUUAUGUAUGUUAAUUUCACAGUCCUCACACACACAUGUUCCUGCUGCCGGUCUACCCAGUGCUACGUCAUGAAGCCAACAAACCCUCAACAAGAUCCUGCAAACUAAUGGCAGACUUUAGCAGCCAGUAGGCCUGGCCAAAUGUUCAAUGGAAUGAGGCGGAUUAUUUGCAGAAACAACUAGAAAAUAAACAAGCUGCAAUGGU